UAUGGAGAUGCAGAUUUCAUCUUCCAGCAAGACCUGGCCCCGGCCCAUACCGCCAGAAGCACCAAAAUCUGGUUUGAUGCCCAUGCCAUCACAGUGCUUGACUGGCCUGUCAACUCGCCGGAUCUAAACCCCAUUAUGAAUAUUUAAGUCAAGAUGGACGCUGCACUCUAUAACACCGGUUUUACCCUGCCGAACAGCAAAAACUGCAAUGAUUAUGAAAAGGGAUAGAAUAGAAGAAAAGAAAAUGUAUCAUUAUAAUGACAUUGUUUCAAUAGUUUCAACAAAGUAAAAUAAAGGCCAAUUAUUUCA
Long non-coding RNA from Phyllopteryx taeniolatus (common seadragon), 309 nucleotides. RefSeq lists it as uncharacterized. The record is from RefSeq and is a predicted model, not a curated record. The transcript has 2 exons. Lineage: Eukaryota; Metazoa; Chordata; Actinopteri; Syngnathiformes; Syngnathidae.